Rattus norvegicus (Norway rat) is the source of this 478-nucleotide long non-coding RNA. RefSeq lists it as uncharacterized. Lineage: Eukaryota; Metazoa; Chordata; Mammalia; Rodentia; Muridae. The record is from RefSeq and is a predicted model, not a curated record.
GCCACACUGGUCCGAAGAACAGGGUGUUCUGGGACCAAGGCCCAGCAAAAUCAUUGUCAAAGAGACCAGGGAGGCUUCAUCCAGCAACUGAUGGGAGCAGACGCAGUCCUGCAGCCAAAUAUUAGGGGGAGCUCAGGGAGUCCGGUGGAGGAGCAGGAGGACACCAGAAGGACAGAGCCUACAGAAUCAACUGACUGUGACUCACGGGAGCCUGUAGAGGUCUGACCUAGGUCCUUUGUGGAUUUGUUCUGGCUGAGUAACUUGGUGUUCUUGAGGGACCCUUUUCCUCUACUGGAUUGAUUACCUUGUCCAGCCGUGAUGGGAUGGAACUUGGUGAGAAUUUCAGCGCAUGGAGAACUCCACAUACUCCAGCUGGUGUAUUCAGAGCUCUUGUGUGCUGCUGGGACCAAAAUAUUGUAUUAGACAGCUGUAAGCUGGAGAAUGCCCAAAAUAAAGAUCUCUCUCUCUCUCUCUCUCU